CCCUAUAAAGUAUAUAUAUUCUUGAUCAGGGUCACUAGCCGAGUCGAUAUAGCCAUGGUCUUUGGUUUGAUGCAUUAAGGAGAAGUUGCAAUGUUGCGUUAUUGAGAUCUAAACCAUAUGCAAUGCCCCUAAAGCUCGAUUGCUUUACGAUAUGUGUAUAUGUACAUACAUAUGCACAUUUAACUUCUUGGGCUUAGCUUAGCCACCUAUUCUACUACUCUUUCCUUUUUUCUUGUUUUCUAUAUUUCUACAUUCUUUCUUAUUCCUAACGGACUAAUUCCAAUCAACGUGCGUCACACACAUGUUUUUGUUUUUGUGUGAAGAGACUCUCUCUUCAAGAGAGACACAGUGCGAGAGGGAUGGUGACUGAGAGUGUUAGCUCGGCAGGCGAUCGGUGGAUUGACAUGGCGUCAGUUUAAUUUUGGACUCGGGCGAGGAAGCAGUCAUGAAAAAGCAACAAAGGAACAAAAAAGGAAAACAACGAUAUGAUUUAAUUUAAUAAAUAACAGAAUACGUCGAAGUACGAAAGGAAAACCUUCAAGAGAUCGGAAAAAGUAAUACGAUUUAUUUAAAUACGGAGAAAAAGCAACAAAGGAACAAAAAAGGAAAACAACGAUAUGAUUUAAUUUAAUAAAUAACAGAAUACGUCGAAGUACGAAAGGAAAUCCUUCAAGAGAUCGGAAAAAGUAAUACGAUUUAUUUAAAUACGGAGAAAAAGCAACAAAGGAACAAAAAAGGAAAACAACGAUAUGAUUUAAUUUAAUAAAUAACAGAAUACGUCGAAGUACGAAAGGAAAACCUUCAAGAAAUCGGAAAAAGUAAUACGAUUUAUUUAAAUACGGAGAAAAAGCAACAAAGGAACAAAAAAGGAAAACAACGAUAUGAUUUAAUUUAAUAAAUAACAGAAUACGUCGAAGUACGAAAGGAAAACCUUCAAGAGAUCGGAAAAAGUAAUACGAUUUAUUUAAAUACGGAGAAAAAGCAACAAAGGAACAAAAAAGGAAAACAACGAUAUGAUUUAAUUUAAUAAAUAACAGAAUACGUCGAAGUACGAAAGGAAAACCUUCAAGAGAUCGGAAAAAGUAAUACGAUUUAUUUAAAUACGGAGGAAACAGGGAAAAUUAACAAUUACAAAAUUCGUUUCGAAGACAUUUUUCUUAAUUUUUUUUUUUAUAAAAUUCAAAAAGUAAACUCUGUUUCGUUAAUAAAUAAUGUUUUAUAUUAGCUAAUAGGGAAUGGCUCUUAAAAUAGUAAUAGUACAAUUUUCUAAAAGUUCAAGAUUGAUGGGGGUGUAUAUUUUUUUAAUUAAAAAAAUGUAACGGCAAAUGUUAUUUAUUCAGGAAUAAAUAAGGGGGUAAUUAUGGAUAACAAAGAGGUUUUCGGGUAAUUAAAGGCAAAUUAAGAACAAAAUUAAAAUUUAAAAUUUUAUUAUUUUAGCUUUGCUAACUUUAUGUACAUUACAAAUUUUUUUGUUUUUUUUAAGUAAGAAAAGCCCAUCUAAGCUUACCUCUUCGAAAUCAAUAAUAAAAAAGUCCGUUUGGCCGCAUCUCAAAAAUUGUUUUUAUUAAAAAAAAAGUUUUCCAACCACUUAAAAAUAAUAUUUAAAAUAUUAACAAAUAUGAACUAUGUAAAAACAUAAAAUUGUGUUUAUUCAGGAAUAAUUUCCGGGAAAAAUAUGGAUAACAAAUAGGUUACGGACAAUUAAUAAAUUAAAAUUUUAAAGUUGCACUGCUAACUCUGUGCACAUAACAAAUUAAUUUUUUUUAGUAAGAAAAGGCCAUUUGUGCACAAAUUCGUUUUAGUAAUAAAUAAAAAUUGUAUAUAUUAUAUAUACAGACUUGUCUUUAAAUAAUAAAUUUCUAAUGCUUUAUUCGAUUCAAACAACACUUUCUAUUUCAAAGACGUAUAUAUUGUUGUGUGUAAAUCAAAAUUUGACUUUUUUAAAUUUUAAAUUAAAUUUUAUUUUAUGAACGAAGUAAAACAGCGGUUACGAUCGCAUUUUCAAAAUACAAAAUUUUUAAUAUCAAAUUUUGUGAUAAAAAAUCUUUAAGGUGAUGGUAUACAUCCCAUUAUUGGCCAAUCAAUCUGACC
Drosophila rhopaloa is the source of this 2091-nucleotide long non-coding RNA. RefSeq lists it as uncharacterized. The record is from RefSeq and is a predicted model, not a curated record. The transcript is spliced from 12 exons. NCBI's taxonomy places the organism in Eukaryota, Metazoa, Arthropoda, Insecta, Diptera, Drosophilidae.